CCAGCCGCCCCAUCUCUUUUGCUUCUCUCUCCCAGCGCCCAUCUCUCUCUCCUCUGCCCGGCCCCAAACGCCAUGGCCGCCGUGAGCUCUCUGCCGUGCUCUCUCUCUCUUCCGAGCUCCUCUGGUUCCAUGGCCGCGCCCAAGGUCCUCCCAUGGCGUCCGUCCUCCUGAGCUCACCCCUCUUGCUGUGCUGCUCGCCCCAGCUCGAAUUUCUCUCUGUGCGCGCGAGCUGCCAAGCACGUUUCCCUGUGUCCUGGUUGGAGCUCGCCCCUUCGGUGUCCAUGGCCGCCCAGUCUCCACUCCCCAUUCCUGCCGUGGUCGACGCCUCUCCCUGCUCCAUCUUCUUCCUUGCCGUGGCUGUUCCACAGCUCAGCUCUGCUCCAGCAGUUCCUAUGGCGCGCGCUCAGCCAGCCCUCCAUUUUUCCUCUGCUGCGCGCAGCUCGCCGAGCAGUCCCUGCGCGUUUCUCUCUCGCGCAGAUCUCUCUCCUUCCCGGCGUUUCUCUCUAUUGCUCCGCGCUAUAGCGACCGUCGGACCGAUCGUUCCCUGCGCGCCGACUUUCUUGUGCGCGCCGUUGCGAGCUCGUCAGCCACUGUUGGCUUAUCACAGAACCCCCAACGCCGUCGACCUCGCUUAGCCAGUCGACCAUAGUCGCUGCCGAGCGCUUGUCCCGCAGUAUUUGGGUCUCGCUGAUUGGCCGCUCUUGCCCACCGUUAAUUCCGCCUCGCAGCUCGCCUGCUGUUGUGGUGCUGACACUCCACGACACUCGUGUCGAUGCAUCGUUGUCUGGCCGAGAGUUGUCGUCACUAUUUCGCUUUCGUCCAAAUUGUCAUCACGGAUGCUUAAUUCUCUGGUCGCGCGUCUUUCUAUCUCGCGCGUGUGAGUUGGAAGCUCUGCACGUUCGUCGUCCUUUAGUCCCAGUUCAACCCCCAUCUCGCCAGGUCGCUCCAGACACAAUCUCGUCGUCGUUCCGCGCCUCAGCAAGAAAUUCCAAGAAACGGGUGAAGACGAAGCCAGCAGCGUGAUAUUCACCAAGUGCGCGACAAAAGUUCGGUUCGUCAAAAUUAUUUAGUCGAGGAGAAGAUCUUCAGUAAUUGAUUACCGAAGAAAGAAGACCCCUGGAUGACGUCAACCGGAACUGUAGUCGUGCUUGCGACUAUCGCGUCAAAUUAGUCAGGGUACGUUAAUUAAUCACGUGAUGCGGAAGACGAGCCAAGUCGACCCCAAGCGUGGACUAAUUUGCAAGAUGAAGCUGAUGGACCAACCUGAAGAUGGACAAUGGAGUGAGUAUCGGAAUAAAGGCUGAUCGUCAAGUGGACGUCGUCUAACAACACUAACCUAGUGUUACCCAGGCAAGCCCCGGUGCAUUUGCCCCUUCCUUGUGUUUUAAAUGCUUUUCACCUUAUCUGAUGCAUUAGGUGAUAUGAGUUGUGUGAUAAACAAUUGAUGCAUUACCAUUCCUUGGCAACUCCUUAAUCCCGAUUUUAUAAAAAGAAUUGAUAAUGCUUAGCCCUGCUUAGAAACUGAAAAAUCAUUUGUUUUCAAAAAGAAUGAUUGUGGAACAUUGGUUAUGGGCCUUUCGUUUCAAAAAUCAAAGCAAACUUAUGGUGAUGAUUCCACUUCGGCCGGAGUGGAUUCAUCAUUUGGAAAAGAGUACCCCUGUCGGGUACCAAAAAUGGGAAAAUGGUUUAAAUACAUCUAGACCAGAUGCUGAGCGGACGUGGUCGCCCGUCUGUGUCGAUUAAGGACCGUUCGAUGUAGGCCUGUUGUGGUGGAGACCUUGCAACUAGCC
Molecule: long non-coding RNA, 1790 nt
Filed under: Zea mays
Lineage: Eukaryota; Viridiplantae; Streptophyta; Magnoliopsida; Poales; Poaceae
Description: uncharacterized LOC100384729 (LOC100384729)
Source: RNAcentral